Molecule: ribosomal RNA, 480 nt
Filed under: uncultured eukaryote
Lineage: Eukaryota
Description: bacterial SSU rRNA
Rfam family: Eukaryotic small subunit ribosomal RNA
Source: RNAcentral
UUAAAAGACUCGUAGUUGAACUUCUAAGGAUUGAAGUCGCCUUAUGGCUUGUAUUGAUAUCCUUAUCCGCUUUGGUUUAGCAAUACGACACUUUGUUGGGCGAUUGUGUAACCAGGCAAUUUACUUUGAAAAAAUUAGAGUGUUUCAAGCAGGCGAUUUGCUGGAAUACAUUAGCAUGGAAUAAUAGAACACGACCUCUUAGGCAUUUUAUUGGUAUAUGACUGGAGGUAAUGAUUAACGGGGACAGUUGGGGGCAUUAAGUAUUGCAUUGUCAGAGGUGAAAUUCCAUUGAUUAGUGCAAGACUAACUUAUGCGAAAGCAUUUGCCAAGGAUGUUUUCAUUAAUCAAGAACGAAAGUUAGGGGAUCAAAAGACGAUUANAUACCGUCCUAGUCUUAACCAUAAAAACUAUACCGACUAGGGAUUAGUGAGGAAUAUCGUGCCUCAUUAGCACCUUAUGAAAAAAUCAAAGUCUUUGGGU